UAGCCUAGUGGUUAAUGCUAUGGAUCGCCAAUCCGGAGACUACGGGUUCGAUUCCCGU
Molecule: non-coding RNA, 58 nt
Organism: Aedes albopictus (Asian tiger mosquito)
Lineage: Eukaryota; Metazoa; Arthropoda; Insecta; Diptera; Culicidae
Source: Rfam